ACGAACGCUGGCGGCGUGCUUAACACAUGCAAGUCGAACGGAAAGGCCCUGCUUUUGUGGGGUGCUCGAGUGGCGAACUGGUGAGUAACACGUGAGUAACCUGCCCUUGACUUUGGGAUAACUUCAGGAAACUGGGGCUAAUACCGGAUAGGAGCUCCUGCUGCAUGGUGGGGGUUGGAAAGUUUCGGCGGUUGGGGAUGGACUCGCGGCUUAUCAGCUUGUUGGUGGGGUAGUGGCUUACCAAGGCUUUGACGGGUAGCCGGCCUGAGAGGGUGACCGGCCACAUUGGGACUGAGAUACGGCCCAGACUCCUACGGGAGGCAGCAGUGGGGAAUAUUGCACAAUGGGCGGAAGCCUGAUGCAGCAACGCCGCGUGCGGGAUGACGGCCUUCGGGUUGUAAACCGCUUUCGCCUGUGACGAAGCGUGAGUGACGGUAAUGGGUAAAGAAGCACCGGCUAACUACGUG
RNAcentral lists this ribosomal RNA (467 nucleotides) under uncultured bacterium. RNAcentral's name for it is "partial 16S ribosomal RNA". It matches the Rfam family "Bacterial small subunit ribosomal RNA", at positions 29 to 507 of the family's 1533-position model. The record is from RNAcentral.